GCUUAUUUCCCCAGGCUUGUUGGCAUAGGUUACAAAGAAGCCUUCAAGCUCUGAAGGAAAGAGC
Regulatory RNA element from Monodelphis domestica (gray short-tailed opossum), 64 nucleotides. It matches the Rfam family "MAT2A 3'UTR stem loop A". Lineage: Eukaryota; Metazoa; Chordata; Mammalia; Didelphimorphia; Didelphidae. The record is from Rfam.